This 82-nucleotide transfer RNA is filed under the name Deltaproteobacteria bacterium. RNAcentral's name for it is "tRNA-Leu". It matches the Rfam family "tRNA". From Rfam's summary of the family: Transfer RNA (tRNA) molecules are approximately 80 nucleotides in length. Their secondary structure includes four short double-helical elements and three loops (D, anti-codon, and T loops). Lineage: Bacteria; Pseudomonadati; Myxococcota; Myxococcia. The record is from RNAcentral.
GCGAGCGUGGCGGAAUUGGUAGACGCACUGGAUUUAGAUUCCAGCGAUGAGAGUCGUGGGGGUUCGAGUCCCCCCGCUCGCA